This 200-nucleotide ribosomal RNA is filed under the name uncultured bacterium. RNAcentral describes it as "partial 16S ribosomal RNA". It matches the Rfam family "Bacterial small subunit ribosomal RNA", at positions 8 to 204 of the family's 1533-position model. The record is from RNAcentral.
AGAGUUUGAUCAUGGCUCAGGACGAACGCUGGCGGCGUGCCUAAUACAUGCAAGUCGAGCGGACUUGUAGGAGCUUGCUCCUGCAAGUUAGCGGCGGACGGGUGAGUAACACGUGGGCAACCUGCCUGUAAGACUGGGAUAACUUCGGGAAACCGGAGCUAAUACCGGAUGAAAUUAAGGGACUCCUGUUCCUUAAUUGA